CGCGUAGGCGGCUUGGCAAGUGGAAGGUGAAAUCCCUCGGCUUAACCGAGGAACUGCCCUCCAAACUGCUUCGCUUGAGACCGGGAGAGGUGAGUGGAAUUCCCAGUGUAGCGGUGAAAUGCGUAGAUAUUGGGAGGAACACCAGUGGCGAAGGCGGCUCACUGGACCGGUACUGACGCUGAUGCGCGAAAGCGUGGGGAGCAAACG
RNAcentral lists this ribosomal RNA (207 nucleotides) under uncultured bacterium. RNAcentral describes it as "partial 16S ribosomal RNA". It matches the Rfam family "Bacterial small subunit ribosomal RNA", at positions 568 to 774 of the family's 1533-position model. The record is from RNAcentral.